RNAcentral lists this long non-coding RNA (267 nucleotides) under Lathyrus oleraceus (garden pea). Its description in RNAcentral is "Pisum sativum (pea) long non-coding RNA (PSAT_LNC036750)". Lineage: Eukaryota; Viridiplantae; Streptophyta; Magnoliopsida; Fabales; Fabaceae. The record is from RNAcentral.
UUGGGGAUAAAAUUGCUUAAUCAGAGCAAUUAUCCAAAAGAAGGAGGGAAUAUCAAUAUCGAAUAUUGGAUAAUGAUAACCGUCAAAGAGGGGAUUACAUCUACCGUAUACUGGGUAGAAAACCACAGAAGAGUAACCGUCAUCAACUAGGAUGAACAACAAGAUUAACUCUGCAAAAGGGGGAAAAAUAGGGUUUACAACUACCGGUAUAAGGGUAGAAAACCACAAACUCCGCUGGGGAAAGAAAGUAGGAUUUAUAGCUACCGG